GACGAACCGUGCAAACGUUGUUCGGAAUCACUGGGCUUAAAGGGCGCGUAGGCGGGCUGUCAAGUCAGGGGUGAAAUCUUUCGGCUCAACCGGAAAACUGCCUUUGAUACUGACGGCCUCGAGGGAGGUAGGGGUAUGUGGAACUUCCGGUGGAGCGGUGAAAUGCGUUGAUAUCGGAAGGAACGCCGGUGGCGAAAGCGACGUACUGGACCUCUUCUGACGCUGAGGCGCGAAAGCUAGGGGAGCGAACGGG
RNAcentral lists this ribosomal RNA (253 nucleotides) under uncultured Gemmata sp. RNAcentral describes it as "partial 16S ribosomal RNA". It matches the Rfam family "Bacterial small subunit ribosomal RNA", at positions 524 to 776 of the family's 1533-position model. The record is from RNAcentral. Lineage: Bacteria; Pseudomonadati; Planctomycetota; Planctomycetia; Gemmatales; Gemmataceae.